CUUUUUCUUUUUUCUUUUUUUAAAUUAUUUCCAUAGAUUUUUGGAGAACAGGUGGUAUUUGAUUACAUGAAAGUUCUUUAGUGGUUAUUUCUGAAAUUUUGGUACACCCAUCACCAGAGCAUUAUACAUUGAACCCAGUUUGUAGUCUUUUAUCCCUCACCCCUUCCAACCCUUUCCCCUCAAGACCUCAAAGUUCUUUGUAUCAUUCUUAUGCCUUUGCAUCCUCAUAGCUCAGCUGGCACUUCUGGGUGAGAACAUACGGUCUUUAGUUUUCCAUUCUGGAGUUACUUCUCUUAGAAUAAUGGUCUCCAAUCCCAUCAAGGUUGCUGUGAAUACCAUUAAUUCAUUGCUUUUUAUGGCUGAGUAGUAUUCCAUCAUAAAUAUACUGCAGUUUCUUUAUCCACUUGUUGAUUGAUGGACACAUUUUUGCAAUAGUGAAUUGUGCUGACAUAAACAUUCACGUACAAAUAUCUUUUUCAUAUAAUAACUUCUUUUCCUCUGGGUAGAUACCCCAUAGUGGGAUUACUGAAUCACAAUUAAAAAAUAUUUACUCCAUUUGAAUGCUAAUAAUGGACACUAGUUUAGCUUUGAAAAUAUUUUAGGUUCAAAUUAAACUUACUGUAAAUGCUAUCCCAAUGAGUAAAACAUUUCACUGUUGUGUAUCAAUAAGGAAUUAUGGCCCGGGUGCGAUGGCUCACACCUGUAAUACCAGCACUUUGGGAGGCCGAGGUAGGUGGAUCACCUGAGGUUGGGAGUUCGAGACCAGCCUGACAAAUGUGGGGAAACCCUGUCUCUACUAAAAAUACAAAAAUUAGAUGGGCGUGGAAGUGCAUGCCUGUAAUCCCAGUUACUCGGGAGACUGAGACAGGAGAAUCUUUUGAACCUGAGAGGUGGAGGUUGUGGUGAGCCGAGAUCGUGCCACUGCACUCCAGCCUGGCCAACAAGAGUGAAACUCUGUCUCCAACAAGAAAAAAAAAAAAAAAGAGUUAUAUAAUCUCUCCUUUCAGCUGGAAACAGUAGUGUACUUAGGACUUGAGAUUUCAGAUUCUGAAAACCCACUUCCUAUCCUCGGAUUCUAGAUCACCCCUUAUGAUAAACUUGGGAAAGUUCUAAACUCCCGGCACUUCAGUGUCCCCCCCCAUCAAGUGACAAUGAUGGUAGUUCUCACAGGAUUGUGAUGAGGACUGAAAGGGGUGGUUUAGGAAUAGCUGCUGGCCCAUAAUACUCAUUAUUACUGUAUUGCUCUUCCACUGCCACCAGCAACACCACUAUGAAAAUUACCAUUUCUGGGCCAGAAAAAUAAGGAGAGGAAAGAGGACUCUUGUGUCAUAGUGAACCUAGGACACAACCUAGUGGCUGUAUUAAUAUUACUAUUUCUUUGGGGUUUUUAUCAAUAUCCUUUUACCAUAGUGAUGACUGCACUAGCAACUGCAUUAAUAUUACUAUUUCUUUGGGUUUUUUUCCAAUAUCCUUUUGCCAUAGUGAUGACUGCACUAGCGGCUGUAUUAAUAUUACUAUUUCUUUUUUUUUUUCAAUAUCAUUUUGCAAUAGAGAUGACUGCAUCCUUUCUCUCAGGGCUUGACAUGUGCUUCUGUUGUUUAAUCUUCCCCAUGUCUGCAGAGCUGGCAUGGGGACAUGAUCCUCCCUCCUAGCAUCAAUGGUGCCAAGAGAAAUAUGAAAGGAGAGGCAUCAAUAAAAAUGAUGAAGGCCAUAGGGAGAAUGGUCUGACCUCAGGUGCUACAGGGAUCUCAAGUUCAAA
Molecule: long non-coding RNA, 1759 nt
Organism: Macaca fascicularis (crab-eating macaque)
Lineage: Eukaryota; Metazoa; Chordata; Mammalia; Primates; Cercopithecidae
Source: Ensembl